Paramuricea clavata is the source of this 357-nucleotide non-coding RNA. The record is from the annotation of a GenBank genome assembly. Lineage: Eukaryota; Metazoa; Cnidaria; Anthozoa; Malacalcyonacea; Plexauridae.
CCCCAUUCCCCAAACAGAUAUCGCUCGGUACGUCCCUGAUAUUAAUUUCUUAAGUACGAUUUAAGUUACUUUAGUAACCCAUAAAAAUUCAACUAUUGAAUCAAAAUUUGAUAGAUGGUCUCAAAACUUUCUUAAGGUUUCUUUUGGCUGUCUUUUAAAAAAGGUUGUUGCAGUCGGUUGUGAGCAUGGUCCACAUUUUACUCUGCCGAAAUUAUCAUUUUAUCUCUUCCAUCUUUAAUUCCUUAAGAGUAUGUUAUGUGAAGAAAGUGUUGACACAGUGCGGUCCAUGCUUGUAAUUUUCCUCUCAAAAAUAUUUCAGAUUGCACGGAUUUGCUAAAUACGUCGUACUCGGUGCAC